This 503-nucleotide ribosomal RNA is filed under the name Eucephalobus oxyuroides. Its description in RNAcentral is "SSU rRNA". It matches the Rfam family "Eukaryotic small subunit ribosomal RNA", at positions 88 to 590 of the family's 1831-position model. The record is from RNAcentral. Lineage: Eukaryota; Metazoa; Nematoda; Chromadorea; Rhabditida; Cephalobidae.
CGCGAAUGGCUCAUUACAACAGCUAUAAUUCACUUGAUCUUGACAAUCCUACUUGGAUAACUGUGGUAAUUCUAGAGCUAGUACAUGCAUUAAAGCUCUGACCUCACGGGAAGAGUGCACUUAUUAGAACAAAACCAAGCGGCUUCGGCUGUUUUCGGUUGACUCAUAGUAACUGAGCUGAUCGCACGGUCUUGCACCGGCGACGUGUCUUUCAAGUAUCUGCCGUAUCAACUUUCGAUGGUAGUGUAUCUGACUACCAUGGUGAUCACGCGUAACGGAGAAUAAGGGUUCGACUCCGGAGAGUUCGCCUGAGAAAUCGCGAACACAUCUAAGGAAGGCAGCAGGCGCGAAAAUUACCCACUCUCAGCACGAGGAGGUAGUGACGAAAAAUAACGAGACCGUUCUCUUUCGAGGCCGGUCAUCGGAAUGGGUACAAUUUAAACCCUUUAACGAGUAUCUAUGAGAGGGCAAGUCUGGUGCCAGCAGCCGCGGUAAUUCCAGCU